This is a long non-coding RNA of Aethina tumida (small hive beetle), 682 nucleotides long. RefSeq lists it as uncharacterized. NCBI's taxonomy places the organism in Eukaryota, Metazoa, Arthropoda, Insecta, Coleoptera, Nitidulidae. The transcript has 2 exons. The record is from RefSeq and is a predicted model, not a curated record.
AUUUGAAAAAAACCGGAAAAGUGCAGACGACAAGACAACACUACGAUCUUUAAUAAUAAUUCAAAACAAUUUGACCAAUUAAAAAUGAGUUAGUAAAAGAACUAAUAAAAACGGAAGCACGCACAACAGUGGAAUUGUGUCAGUCCGUCGAGUUUGUUUGUAAUCGGUGCUUCCACGUCACAAAACAUAUGUUUGGAAAGUGAAGUCAGUUCUUAAUAACACAGUGUCAAAUAUGUCUCUCACAAUACUAUUAUUUGACCAAUUAUUUCGUUGUUAUGAUAACUUUAAUAAAUACUACAAACGAGCUAUAAUGCACAUCACUGGAGACCCUGACUUCUUCCCGAAAGAAGACGACAACGUUCAAGUUAUCUAGAAUGACAAUAGCCAAAUAACCACUGAUCAUUAUUGUAAUAUUCAGAAUGUGAAUAAUUUAUAACUUUUUGAAUAUUUUACUUGCUUAAUCUCAUAGUGAGAACUAGUUUUAGUUUGUACAAAUGUACUGUAUAUAAACAAUUGUGUUCAUCUCUCUAUUCUACAUAUAUUAACUCAAUUUUUAUGUAAAAUAAAAUAUAGCAGUAAUAAAAGAUUAAAUAUAUACUUUAGAUAAAUAAAUCAUAUACUUAAUCUUUUGUCUAAUUGUGAAAAUGUUAAUUAUGUAAAUAUUACACACAUCUAAAUAUUA